AACGUAGGAGGCGAGCGUUAUCCGGAUUUACUGGGUGUAAAGCGCGUGCAGGCGGUUCUGCAAGUGGGACGUGAAAGCGCCCGGCUCAACCGGGCGAGGCCGUUCCGAACUGCGGGACUGGAGGCAGGUAGAGGCGUGUGGAAUUCCGGGUGUAGUGGUGAAAUGCGUAGAGAUCCGGAGGAACACCAGUGGCGAAGGCGGCCACCUGGACUGUACCUGACGCUCAAACGCGAAAGCUAGGGGAGCGAAC
Molecule: ribosomal RNA, 250 nt
Filed under: uncultured bacterium
Lineage: Bacteria
Description: partial 16S ribosomal RNA
Rfam family: Bacterial small subunit ribosomal RNA
Source: RNAcentral